UACGUAGGGUGCAAGCGUUGUCCGGAUUUAUUGGGCGUAAAGAGCUCGUAGGCGGUCUGUCGCGUCGGAUGUGAAAACCCAGGGCUCAACCCUGGGCCUGCAUUCGAUACGGGCAGACUAGAGUACGGCAGGGGAGACUGGAAUUCCUGGUGUAGCGGUGAAAUGCGCAGAUAUCAGGAGGAACACCGGUGGCGAAGGCGGGUCUCUGGGCCGUAACUGACGCUGAGGAGCGAAAGCGUGGGGAGCGAACAAG
RNAcentral lists this ribosomal RNA (253 nucleotides) under uncultured bacterium. Its description in RNAcentral is "partial 16S ribosomal RNA". It matches the Rfam family "Bacterial small subunit ribosomal RNA", at positions 524 to 776 of the family's 1533-position model. The record is from RNAcentral.